RNAcentral lists this ribosomal RNA (460 nucleotides) under uncultured bacterium. RNAcentral describes it as "partial 16S ribosomal RNA". It matches the Rfam family "Bacterial small subunit ribosomal RNA", at positions 338 to 795 of the family's 1533-position model. The record is from RNAcentral.
CCUACGGGGGGCAGCAGUGAGGAAUAUUGGUCAAUGGGCGCGAGCCUGAACCAGCCAAGUAGCGUGAAGGAUGACGGCCCUACGGGUUGUAAACUUCUUUUAUAAAGGAAUAAAGUGAGGCACGUGUACCUUUUUGGAUGUACUUUAUGAAUAAGGAUCGGCUAACUCCGUGCCAGCAGCCGCGGUAAUACGGAGGGUCCGAGCGUUAUCCGGAUUUAUUGGGUUUAAAGGGAGCGUAGAGGGGUUGUUAAGACAGAUGUGAAAGGCUCGGGCUCAACCGGAAAAUUGCAAUGGAAACUGGCAGUCUUGAGUACGGUUGAGGUAGGCGGAAUUCGUGGUGUAGCGGUGAAAUGCUUAGAUAUCACGAAGAACUCCGAUUGCGAAGGCAGCUUACUAAACUGCCACUGACGUUGAUGCUCGAAAGUGUGGGUAUCAAACAGGAUUAGAUACCCCAGUAGUC